AGUUGAAGAUGCGGAAACAGUGCCGAGAGAAGAGCGGAAAGAAGCGGAGGACAACAAAGAAAAUGAACGUCCUGAAGUUGAAGAAACUAACGAUGGAGUUGAAGAGGAAGGAAAGAGAGUGAGGACAAGGAGGCCAGCGGGCCGUUCACGAAGGGAAUGGCGCCCUUACCCAAGAAUGUACGACCGCACUCA
Long non-coding RNA from Ceratina calcarata, 192 nucleotides. RefSeq lists it as uncharacterized. The record is from RefSeq and is a predicted model, not a curated record. The transcript is spliced from 3 exons. Lineage: Eukaryota; Metazoa; Arthropoda; Insecta; Hymenoptera; Apidae.